This 1055-nucleotide ribosomal RNA is filed under the name Bifidobacterium breve. RNAcentral's name for it is "partial 23S ribosomal RNA". It matches the Rfam family "Bacterial large subunit ribosomal RNA", at positions 387 to 1450 of the family's 2925-position model. Lineage: Bacteria; Bacillati; Actinomycetota; Actinomycetes; Bifidobacteriales; Bifidobacteriaceae. The record is from RNAcentral.
AUAUUCUCUCUUGAGUGGAUCCUGAGUACGACGGAGCACGUGAAAUUCCGUCGGAAUCUGGGAGGACCAUCUCCUAAGGCUAAAUACUCUCUAGUGACCGAUAGUGAACCAGUACCGUGAGGGAAAGGUGAAAAGUACCCCGGAAGGGGAGUGAAAGAGAACUUGAAACCGUGUGCUUACAAGUAGUCAGAGCCCGUUAAUGGGUGAUGGCGUGCCUUUUGUAGAAUGAACCGGCGAGUUACGAUCUGAUGCAAGGUUAAGCAGAAAAUGUGGAGCCGUAGCGAAAGCGAGUCUGAAUAGGGCGUAUAGUAUUUGGUCGUAGACCCGAAACCAGGUGAUCUACCCAUGGUCAGGUUGAAGUUCAGGUAACACUGAAUGGAGGACCGAACCGACUUACGUUGAAAAGUGAGCGGAUGAACUGUGGGUAGCGGAGAAAUUCCAAUCGAACUUGGAGAUAGCUGGUUCUCUCCGAAAUAGCUUUAGGGCUAGCCUCAAGUGAUGAUUAUUGGAGGUAGAGCACUGUUUGGACGAGGGGCCCCUCUCGGGUUACCGAAUUCAGACAAACUCCGAAUGCCAAUUAAUUUAACUUGGGAGUCAGAACAUGGGUGAUAAGGUCCGUGUUCGAAAGGGAAACAGCCCAGACCACCAGCUAAGGUCCCAAAAUAUAUGUUAAGUGGAAAAGGAUGUGGCGUUGCCCAGACAACUAGGAUGUUGGCUUAGAAGCAGCCAUCAUUUAAAGAGUGCGUAAUAGCUCACUAGUCGAGUGACACUGCGCCGAAAAUGUACCGGGGCUAAACAUAUUACCGAAGCUGUGGAUUGUCCUUUGGACAAUGGUAGGAGAGCGUUCUAAGGGCGUCGAAGCAUGAUCGCAAGGACAUGUGGAGCGCUUAGAAGUGAGAAUGCCGGUGUGAGUAGCGAAAGACGGGUGAGAAUCCCGUCCACCGAUUGACUAAGGUUUCCAGAGGAAGGCUCGUCCGCUCUGGGUUAGUCGGGUCCUAAGCUGAGGCCGACAGGCGUAGGCGAUGGAUAACAGGUUGAUAUUCCUGUACCACCUA